UAAACGACUCUCGGCAACGGAUAUCUCGGCUCUCGCAUCGAUGAAGAACGUAGCGAAAUGCGAUACUUGGUGUGAAUUGCAGAAUCCCGCGAACCAUCGAGUCUUUGAACGCAAGUUGCGCCCGAAGCCAUUAGGCUGAGGGCACGUCUGCCUGGGCGUCUCAC
Molecule: ribosomal RNA, 164 nt
Filed under: Camellia flavida
Lineage: Eukaryota; Viridiplantae; Streptophyta; Magnoliopsida; Ericales; Theaceae
Also listed under: 3 other names
Description: 5.8S ribosomal RNA
Rfam family: 5.8S ribosomal RNA
About the family: 5.8S ribosomal RNA (5.8S rRNA) is a component of the large subunit of the eukaryotic ribosome. It is transcribed by RNA polymerase I as part of the 45S precursor that also contains 18S and 28S rRNA.
Source: RNAcentral